This is a long non-coding RNA of Sphaerodactylus townsendi, 1112 nucleotides long. RefSeq lists it as uncharacterized. The record is from RefSeq and is a predicted model, not a curated record. The transcript has 2 exons. Lineage: Eukaryota; Metazoa; Chordata; Lepidosauria; Squamata; Sphaerodactylidae.
CUUAUGUUCCAGUUUCCUUUCUCCUCCCAACAUUUCCUGUCUACACAACAGCAGUUCCUCACCGCACGGGUAUAACAAGGAAGUGGGGGCGGGAGAAAGCACAGAUCAGAUCGGCCGUGUUCACUUCGCAGUGGGAGAAACCCAUUAAAGCAGCAAACCAUGGGAAAACCCACUGCGAAGCACUGCAUGCAUUAACAGCCUUCCCCAAAGCAGAAGUAUUCAACAUGACCUGUUAAACAAUGCAAGAAAUGGUAUUAAGUAAAAAUAUAAUGCAGAAAGCCCUCCCGUAGGAUGUGGGCGACUGCAGAGCACAGCAUGUGUACGAGCAGUGGUUGAUCUUGCCCGCUGGCAGGGCGGCAGCGGAAGAGGGUGCUGCUGAGCGGUCAUGGCCAAGCGCAGGAGGAGAGGCGGGCCUAUCUCCCCACACGAUGGAUUACGUGGUUCUUAACUCCCCACCCCUCAUAUUUUCCAGGCUGGCCCCGAUAAAAGCACCAACUUGACCGUGAAUCUCAGUCAGGAUAUUGCCCAUCUCAAGAAACUGCUUGCUUCCGUCAACCAGAUGCUCAUGAAGGGAAGAGAACACUACCAGCUACUAGAAUGAAAUUCCUGGGUGGUCGUUCCUUUGAGGGUAGCGGAAGGCACUGUAUUUUAUAUUUUGCCAAAUUAAAGCCUUAUUUAUGUGCUCACCCUUUCUACUUCGUCAAACACCGAGUCGGGCGUUGUCUUUUCUACUCCUCGUUAGACUACUGAUUUAAACCAGAUGAAGAAGACUCUGUAGACACUCCAGAGUUUAGUUUUAUAAUUUAAAAAAGAUAAAGCGGUUUGGAUAAUUAGAGCUUUACAUUCCUUGGAGCUACAGUAAACGUGUAACCUUUUAUCUUUACUAUGCUCAGUGAAACUUGUUCAGACACACACCUGACGUAGCAACGACAGCCGUGAACAAAUAACCUUUUAAUACUGACGGUAUGCACACUUUUACUUAGAUACGUUUUGGAAGUAGCGGCCUCCGACUUCCACCUUCAAGUAAACAUUCUUCUUCUUUUUUUUUUUUGGUUGCUUAUGUAAUCCAUUUUUGUAAUGGUGUCAGCAAAUAAAGGGAUGCUUAUUACUCA